Picea glauca (white spruce) is the source of this 371-nucleotide non-coding RNA. Lineage: Eukaryota; Viridiplantae; Streptophyta; Pinopsida; Pinales; Pinaceae. The record is from Rfam.
GUUCCAUGUGAACAUCACUUGGACAUGGGUUAGUAGAUCCUAAGAGAUGGGGAACCCUUGUAUCAAGGGUGCACUCUGCAUGAACAUCGAAAGAGAAUUGGGUUAAUAUUCUCGAACCGAGACAUGGUGGUGGACGACAAUGUUAGGAAAUAUGGAGAUGUCAUUGGGGGUUUGGGAAGAGUUAUCUUUUAUUUUUAACGACUUUCCCACCCUGAAAUUGGUUCAACCAGAGAUAGGGUCCAACAUAUGGAAGAGUUCCACAUGUCUUGUAGUGUUUGGUGCCCCCUCGACAACCAUUGAAAAUAUGGAGAACCGAGUACCAUCCAUGCUCGAUCGUACUCAUAUCUGCCUCCUUGGAUUUUUCAAUGCCC